CCUACGGGAGGCAGCAGUGGGGAAUAUUGCACAAUGGGGGGAACCCUGAUGCAGCGACGCCGCGUGAGUGAAGAAGUAUUUCGGUAUGUAAAGCUCUAUCAGCAGGGAAGAAAAUGACGGUACCUGACUAAGAAGCCCCGGCUAACUACGUGCCAGCAGCCGCGGUAAUACGUAGGGGGCAAGCGUUAUCCGGAUUUACUGGGUGUAAAGGGAGCGCAGACGGCUGUGCAAGUCUGGAGUGAAAGGCGGGGGCCCAACCCCCGGACUGCUCUGGAAACUGUAAAGCUGGAGUGCAGGAGAGGUAAGCGGAAUUCCUAGUGUAGCGGUGAAAUGCGGAGAUAUUAGGAGGAACACCAGUGACGAAGGCGGCUUACUGGACUGCAACUGACGUUGAGGCUCGAAAGCGUGGGGAGCAAACAGGAUUAGAUACCCCAGUAGUC
This 440-nucleotide ribosomal RNA is filed under the name uncultured bacterium. Its description in RNAcentral is "partial 16S ribosomal RNA". It matches the Rfam family "Bacterial small subunit ribosomal RNA", at positions 338 to 795 of the family's 1533-position model. The record is from RNAcentral.